Long non-coding RNA from Phascolarctos cinereus (koala), 524 nucleotides. RefSeq lists it as uncharacterized. The record is from RefSeq and is a predicted model, not a curated record. Lineage: Eukaryota; Metazoa; Chordata; Mammalia; Diprotodontia; Phascolarctidae.
CCGGGCUCGCUGAACAGGCGGGUCAGCAUGGUGGCCUGAAGAGUUGGGGGAGGGGGAAAGACAGACACAGACACAGAGCUCCAGCUCCUUCCUCCAGGCCAACACCGGCUCUGUCCUCGGACUCCCGGCUUCAGGGCUCGGGGAGUCUCGGACAGGGGAACCGGGGUCCACAUUACGAAGCCAGGAAAACAAACCCUUCUCGUCACCCCAGCGUCCAAAGACACCCGGGACAUCCCUAAACCUCGCCGCCCACCGAAUGGCUCCCCGAAUCUCGUUAUAUUUGGGAUUUGGAGCGGGGGCAGCGGCUCCUCAAGGCGGCGGGCGCCGGCGUCUUCAGAGCGCCAUGCGAAGCGGGGAGCGAGUGUGGCAUCUCUACCAGGCGGGGGUACCAGCCUCUAUGCCAGGGCCAUAUGGGCUUGGCACGUCACGGGCAGCAGCUAUCACAUGAGAGACGGUGAUUGGCAUGCGUCUGCAUUGGGGGAGAGCCGGCUCCCCCGGGACCAGCCGCCAUCUGUCACUCUCUA